Molecule: long non-coding RNA, 1288 nt
Filed under: Fukomys damarensis (Damara mole-rat)
Lineage: Eukaryota; Metazoa; Chordata; Mammalia; Rodentia; Bathyergidae
Description: lncRNA (ENSFDAG00000029131.1)
Source: RNAcentral
UGUGGAGUGCUUUGGUCUGCAGACACUGCAGGCUGCCAAGUCAUCGUGAGGAAUUUCAGUCUCCUGUUUGCUGAGCUGUGUUGGGAUUGUGGCUUAUUUGCAGAAGUUCUUUGUUUAAGUCAUCCUUGAUCAAGAUGUUUGUUCUGGGAUGGCGACAUUGCUUUUAUGGUUGCUCCCUGCCUGAAGUUUGUUCCCCUGAUAGUGAUCGGAAUGUGCUAUAGUCGUGAUCUUGUAACUUCUUGUUUCUGUCGAGUUAAUAUAGUUAGCAGGAUAUAUAAAGGAAGGUUUUUUGUAAAAGCUUUAGACCUUCUCCCAAGAUAAUAAAGAAGCUUCAGAAGGAUCCUGAGUGUUGCGUGCUUUCUUGCUGGCAAGCGGCUCGCGACAACUGGUGCCGAAACCCGGGACGCUGGGAAUAAUCUCAAGACAACAGAUCCAGGCAUCGGAGAAGGUCCCUGUGCUGAACAGGAGGAUUCAGAACUGAGGCGACCUGCAUAAGGAAGGAACGUUCAGAUCCCGUCUGGGUCCCAAGUCGGCUGACACGUCGCUGUCCUCUCAUUGACAAGGUUUCCCAGCCAGAAGCAUGAAGUUCUACUUAUGGAUGUAUUAUCAGCUCUUUCUUCUGAUCACUCCGGCGAAUUCUUGGACUCCAGCAGCAACAGCUCCAUCUAUUGCAGCAGGCUUUUUUGGCCGCUGAUUUGGGCAUCUCCCCUCAUUUCUGGCUCGCUCAAAUGGAAUAGUAGUCAAAGACGGGUAAGAUCUGGGAUCAUCAAUGAUCAACCUAAGACAGAGGUUGUAUCUCUUAAAUCUGAGUACAAUUCUCGAUGACGGGUAAGACAUUGUUUGAGUCCUGGACAACCUAAGACAGGCAUAUUCCUGAGCCAUUGUUUUAUAUAAAAGAAGGGUGAGAUGUGGAGUGCUUUGGUCUGCAGACACUGCAGGCUGCCAAGUCAUCGUGAGGAAUUUCAGUCUCCUGUUUGCUGAGCUGUGUUGGGAUUGUGGCUUAUUUGCAGAAGUUCUUUGUUUAAGUCAUCCUUGAUCAAGAUGUUUGUUCUGGGAUGGCGACAUUGCUUUUAUGGUUGCUCCCUGCCUGAAGUUUGUUCCCCUGAUAGUGAUCGGAAUGUGCUAUAGUCGUGAUCUUGUAACUUCUUGUUUCUGUCGAGUUAAUAUAGUUAGCAGGAUAUAUAAAGGAAGGUUUUUUGUAAAAGCUUUAGACCUUCUCCCAAGAUAAUAAAGAAGCUUCAGAAGGAUCCUGAGUGUUGCGUGCUUUCUUGCUGGCGAGCGGCUCGCG